AGUGAAGCGGCACAGCUCAAAUCCGAAAGCUAGCCUUCGGGUUCGCAUUGUAAUUCUGUAGAGGAUGAUUUGGGGAAGCCGCCUGUCUAAGUUCCUUGGAACAGGACGUCAUAGAGGGUGAGAAUCCCGUAUGUGACAGGAAAUGGCACCCUAUGUAAAUCUCCUUCGACGAGUCGAGUUGUUUGGGAAUGCAGCUCUAAAUGGGAGGUAAAUUUCUUCUAAAGCUAAAUAUUGGCGAGAGACCGAUAGCGCACAAGUAGAGUGAUCGAAAGAUGAAAAGCACUUUGGAAAGAGAGUUAAAAAGCACGUGAAAUUGUUGAAAGGGAAGCGCUUGCAAUCAGACUUGUUUAAACUGUUCGGCCGGUCUUCUGACCGGUUUACUCAGUUUGGACAGGCCAGCAUCAGUUUCGGCGGCCGGAUAAAGGCUCUGGGAAUGUGGCCUCCACUUCGGUGGAGGUGUUAUAGCCCAGGGUGUAAUACGGCCAGCCGGGACUGAGGUCCGCGCUUCGGCUAGGAUGCUGGCGUA
This 526-nucleotide ribosomal RNA is filed under the name Aureobasidium pullulans. RNAcentral describes it as "eukaryotic LSU rRNA". It matches the Rfam family "Eukaryotic large subunit ribosomal RNA", at positions 92 to 633 of the family's 3401-position model. Lineage: Eukaryota; Fungi; Ascomycota; Dothideomycetes; Dothideales; Saccotheciaceae. The record is from RNAcentral.